Molecule: ribosomal RNA, 201 nt
Filed under: uncultured bacterium
Lineage: Bacteria
Description: partial 16S ribosomal RNA
Rfam family: Bacterial small subunit ribosomal RNA
Source: RNAcentral
ACGCUCGACACCUACGGGGGGCAGCAGUGGGGAAUAUUGCACAAUGGGGGAAACCCUGAUGCAGCAACGCCGCGUGAAGGAAGAAGGUUUUCGGAUCGUAAACUUCUAUCAAUAGGGAAGAAAGAAAUGACGGUACCUAAAUAAGAAGCCCCGGCUAACUACGUGCCAACAGCCGCGGUAAUCUGAGCGGGCUGGCAAGGC